CCAUCCCUUAAUAGGUCUCAUAACUGCAGGGCUGAGCAUUAAUUACUCAUGUCCUCCUGAAAGGUCUAUAGCCACAUGAAUGCUUACAUCAUUUAUGUGUUUUCAGUGGACUCUAAUCAUUGCCUGAUGUCCCCAGUGAAAAGGUGCUGUCAUAAAGCCCAAGACCCUUGACCACUGGGCUACCGCCAUCUCCAUGUUUCAGCACUUAAACAAGCUCUCACUGGCUCAAGAGACAGUGUUACUGUGACUCAGUGGAAAAAGCGGUGACAUAUGAAACUGAUGUAAGGGCCGUGGAGGGGGAAACCCCUUCAAGCGCCCCCCAGACACCUUUGGAGGGGUGUCCUCCAUUAUCUGAUGUGAAGGGAAUCCCUAACCUCUACACAGCUUGACGU
Molecule: non-coding RNA, 392 nt
Organism: Pimephales promelas (fathead minnow)
Lineage: Eukaryota; Metazoa; Chordata; Actinopteri; Cypriniformes; Leuciscidae
Source: RefSeq, a predicted model, not a curated record